UGUUUGGUACCUCCUUGUACCAAUGUUUAUGUGUUUGAGUCGUAAAUAAAUAAUAUCUAACCAUUGGUUACGAUGAUCACGCGGACAAUAACCAGGUGGUUUACACGAAUUAAUAUGGUUCAGUCUAGUUGUCAAUGACUUCAUGGACUGGCUCUAGGUAUGGGUUUGAGUGGUCCUAGCUUUCCCCUAACCUAGCCUGAGAAAUGGCUAUCACAUCCAAGGACGGCAGCAGGGGUGAAAAUUACCCACUCCCGGCACGGGGAUGUAGUGAGGAAAAAUACGGAUAAGGGACUCAAUUGAGGCUCCGUAAUUCGAAUGAGUACAAUUUAAAUCCUUUAACGAGGACCAACUGGAGGGCAAGUCUGGUGCCAGCAGCCGCGGUAACUCCAGCUCCAAAAGCGUAUAUUAAGGUUGCUGCAGUUAAAAAGCUUGUAGUUGGAUCUGGGUCGUGCGGUCGCAUGCCGCUGCUUGUUCACGGUUUUGGUUACAAUCAGGACGUGUUCAGCUCGGUGUAGUGGCUGUGCAGCCUUUCAGCCGUGUCUGUGUUAAACGGGUGCUGGUGGGUUGACGAGUUCGUCUUGUUGACCUGUUGGCAUGCUUCCGGAUGCCUUUAAACGGGUGUCGGGAGCGGAUGGCAUCUUUACUUUGAACAAAUUUGAGUGCUCAAAGCAGGCCUGUGCGCCUGAAAAUUANNNNNNNNNNCAUGGAAUAAUGAAAUAGGACUUCGGUUCUAUUUUGUUGGUUUUCGGAUCCGAAGUAAUGGUUAAGAGGGACAGACGGAGGCAUUUGUACGGCGGUGUUAGAGGUGAAAUUCUGGGAUCGCCGCCAGACAAACUACAGCGAAAGCAUUUGCCAAGAAUGUUUUCAUUGAUCAGGAGCGAAAGUCAGAGUUUCGAAGACGAUCAGAUACCGUCGUAGUUCUGACCAUAAACGAUGCCAACUGACGAUCCGCGUUGGUUUUAUAACUGACAUCGCGGACAGACCCCGGGAAACCUUUAAGUCUUUGGGCUCCGGGGGGAGUAUGGUUGCAAAGCCGAGACUUAAAGGAAAUGACGGAAGGGCACCACCAGGAGUGGAGCCUGCAGUUUAAUUCGACUCAACACGGGAAAACUCACCCGGCCCGGACACUGUGAGGAUUGACGGAUUGAUAUCUCUUUCUUGAUUCGGUGGGCGGUGGUGCAUGGCAGUUCUUAGUUGGUGGAGCGAUUUGUCUGGUUAAUUCCGAUAACGAACGAGACUUUAACCUGCUAAAUAGUAGACUGGUCCUCUGUGCUUGUUUAGGGUACGACUUCUAUUGCUUCUUUAUGGAGUAGUGUGGUCGUGAUCCGGCGGGUGAGGAUCGGGGCUUGCAAUUAUUUCCCGUGAACGAGGAAUUCCUAGUAAGUGCAAGUCAUAAGCUUGCGCUAAUUACGUCGUUGCCCUUUGUACACACCGCCCGUCGCUACUAUCGAUUGAAUGGUUUAGUGAGGUCGUUGUAGUGGCUUUGCAGCUCGACUGAUGCUGAGAUGACCAGAAUACUCUAGAAUCUUCUCAUGCAAAAACUAUAAAUAUACUAACGUUUUCCCUAUUGUGCUUCUUACUUCCACCUAACCUUUUUAUUUGGAAUAUAA
This is a non-coding RNA of Schistosoma curassoni, 1610 nucleotides long. The record is from Rfam. NCBI's taxonomy places the organism in Eukaryota, Metazoa, Platyhelminthes, Trematoda, Strigeidida, Schistosomatidae.